Molecule: long non-coding RNA, 709 nt
Filed under: Marmota monax (woodchuck)
Lineage: Eukaryota; Metazoa; Chordata; Mammalia; Rodentia; Sciuridae
Source: RNAcentral
UCGCUCACAGGCCCCCACGAUAGGCCACCACGCGCCCUUGUCCAGACAGGUCCGGGUCACGCAGGGGGUGCAGGGAGACGCCGCUGAUUCCAAGUCCAGUCGUGCCACCUCCUGAGCCUCGGUGGCCUAAGUGGAGAAGGAGGCCGUGUGGUCCCCACGUGGACGCUGCUGCGCAGGUGAAAAGUGAGCACCCUGAAGGCGUCGUGUGCAGGGAGCCACCAGCUCGUUACCCUGUUGCACAUGUGCUGGGGGCUCCGCCUGCUGGGUCCUGUGCACUGUUCACAUGAAAGUGACAAAACUGACAAACAGCCCAGUUACAUUACAACAAAGGGAGACAGAAAAUUCAAAACAAGUAAAACGCAGGCACGUUACGUAUGUGCUAUACUGAGGAGGAGGAAGAGGCAGGAAGCAAGGGGAGGGCCCGUGAGAAAGGUCAUGCAGGUAACCUGAUGAGUGUCCCAGGGAGAGGGAGCAACCAGUGCAAAGGCCCUGGGGUAGGACCAGGAUGAACGUGCUGCUCAUGUUUUACUCCACUGUAGUCUUUCCAGGCUCCUCUCCCUCUGUCUCCCUUCACACACACUCUCCAGCCAAAUAACCCACUUGAGCCUCAGAGGGUUUUAUAAGGAGGAAGCAGAUGUAGAAAUAGAUUCACAUUCCAGAAAGCUGCCACAGCAGCCUAGGAGUGAGCCUGGAGGCAGGGAGGUCAGUU